Molecule: transfer RNA, 73 nt
Filed under: Candidatus Magnetomorum sp. HK-1
Lineage: Bacteria; Pseudomonadati; Thermodesulfobacteriota; Desulfobacteria; Desulfobacterales; Candidatus Magnetomoraceae
Rfam family: tRNA
About the family: Transfer RNA (tRNA) molecules are approximately 80 nucleotides in length.
Source: Rfam by way of RNAcentral
GUGGGUGUAGCUCAGUCGGUAGAGCUCCAGAUUGUGGAUCUGGCAGUCGAGGGUUCAAGUCCCUUCAUCCACC